This 510-nucleotide long non-coding RNA is filed under the name Homo sapiens (human). RNAcentral's name for it is "non-protein coding lnc-HDHD5-1:1". Lineage: Eukaryota; Metazoa; Chordata; Mammalia; Primates; Hominidae. The record is from RNAcentral.
UUUUGUAUUUUUAGUAGAGAUGGGGUUUCACUGUGUUAGCCAGGAUGGUCUCGAUCUCCUGACUUCGUGAUCUGCCUGCCUCGGCCUCCCAAAGUGCUGGGAUUACAGGUGUGAGCCACCACGCCUGGCCUGCUCCUGGUCAUUCUUAAAAGGCUGUGUGACAAAGGUCCCGGCAGUGGUGGCAGGGUACAAGGAAGGGUGUGCACAGGCUCCAGGGCGCGCCAUCAGCAAGUGAGGCAUGCGCCCUGCAGACACCUCCCUGUCCCUCUCUGUCCUGCAGGUGGGGCAUGAGGACACUGGCCACUCCUUGCAUGACUACAAGGAAGCUCUGAUGAUCCCCGCCAAGGAUGGCGUUAAGCUGCCUUACUUCUUCCACGCCGGAGAAACAGACUGGCAGGGUACUUCCAUAGACAGGAACAUUCUGGAUGCUCUGAUGCUGAACACUACCAGAAUCGGCCAUGGAUUUGCUUUGAGCAAACACCCCGCAGUCAGGACUUACUCCUGGAAAAA